This 482-nucleotide ribosomal RNA is filed under the name uncultured bacterium. RNAcentral describes it as "partial 16S ribosomal RNA". It matches the Rfam family "Bacterial small subunit ribosomal RNA", at positions 28 to 523 of the family's 1533-position model. The record is from RNAcentral.
AGUGAACGUUGGCGGCGUGGAUUAGGCAUGCAAGUCGAGCGAGAACCGUAGCAAUACGGGGACAGCGGCGAAAGGGACAGUAAUGUGUAGGUACCUACCCCGAGGUCUGGGAUAGCUGCGGGAAACUGCAGGUAAUACCGGAUAAUGUCUUCGGACCAAAGGUGUGAUUCCACCUUGGGAGGGGCCUGCAUCCUAUUAGCUUGUUUGCGGGGUAACGGACCACCAAGGCGACGAUGGGUAGCGGGUGUGAGAGGACGACCCGCGUCUUUGGGACUGAGACACUGCCCAGACACCUACGGGUGGCUGCAGUCGAGGAUAUUGUGCAAUGGGCGAAAGCCUGUCCGGGCGACGCCGCGUGCGGGAUGAAGGCCUUCGGGUUGUAAACCGCUGUCGUAGAGGAGGAAAUGCAGGGGGGUUCUCCCUUCUGUUUGACCUAUUCUAGGAGGAAGGACGGGCUAAGUUCGUGCCAGCCGCCGCCGUAA